UCCAUCUUUCCCUUUUACCCCCUCCCUCAUUCAUCUCAUCUUCUUCUUCAGUUCUUCCUCCUCCUCCUCCACUUCUCUCGUACGAAGAAAAGCUUCAGAACUUGGGUUAAAAAUUCCUCGUAAUGAAAGAGCCAAGUAAUGAAGAUCUCUUCGAUCAAUUCUUUGAUGCUCCAGAUGAAUUUUCCUUCUCUGAUUGUAUCAAAGAUAUUGAAUCAGAACUAGUAGAGUCUGUUGGAUCAUCAAUUAUCUCCGAGGUUGAAUUCAAAGAAGGUAAAGCUAAUGAGAGUGUAAGCAAAAAACCAAAUACCCUAAGACCUUCUUUUCCCGAUGGAUUAAGACGUAGAUCACCAUCGUUUGAACUAGGUAAAAAAAUAGGUAGUAAUUUUGCUGAGGAUUUGAAUUCUAGAUCUCCUGUAGUUUCUGAAAUUGUCGAGGUUUCUGAAGAAAAAAUCAUUCCUAGAGUGAAAAAAAAUAAUAUUAAGGAGAAGAAGAAGAAGGCACGUGAAGUAUCUGAUCCUUCUGAAAUAAGCUCAGAUAAAACUAUUAAAGACAAUGGUGAAAGCAAAAGGAAUCAAGAGAAUUCUGUUGUUACUUCGGAAAAUGAGAAUUCUUCAUUAGUAAAUUUAAAUGAAUCUUCAUCAUCAAGUAUGUUGGUGUUUAUGGCGGAAUUGGUUAUUAAGGCAAUUAGCUUUCAACUUAAUUUAUGUUAUAGUUUUUUCACUUUUCCAAUUUGGUUAUUGUAUUGUUCUUUUUUGCUUACAACUAAUCCCAUUAGAACUAUAAAAGAUGGAAAAGAAUAUGUUACACAGAAAUUAUUUAGAAUAUGGAGUGUUUCAUGUGAGUUUGUUUCUCCAAUUUUGUCUGAACAAUUGAAGGGAAACAAAUCAUUCGGGAAGUUUUUAGGAAAGUUUGGUUGGGGAUUUUUCUGGUCGGUUUACGUUUGUACGAUAUUGUUUGGUUUAUUGGUAUCCGGAUUUGUGAUUGGUGGUAUAUUAAUGAGAUAUUUGGUUGAGGAACCAUUUCAGUUCACUGGAGUUUUGAACUUUGAUUAUACCAAGCCGAAACCUGUCGCCUUAGUACCUCUGAUGUCAUGUCCUAGUGCUUCUUGCGGUUUGAACUGCGAAGAAAAACCCGAGUCUGGAAGGUUCAUCGGUUCACGAGCUAUCCCUCCUAAUCACAAACUGCAGCUCACUGUAUCGUUAACACUGCCGGAGUCGGAUUACAAUAAGAAGCUUGGGGUCUUCCAGGUGAGGUUGGAGAUUUUAUCUGCAAGUGGUAGAGUCACGGACAGUUCUAGACAUACAAGCAUGCUGCGAUACAAAAGCCAGCUUAUUACAUAUCUAGAGACCUUUCUUAAGAGUGCUUCUCUGCUUGCUGGCUAUUCAUCAGAAGAACAAGUUCUUAAACUAAAAAUGAGAGGCUUUACUGAGGGGUAUGACCCAACCUCAUGCAUAAGAGUGAUCCUUGAACAACGAGCCGAAUAUAGACCUGGUGCUGGUGUACCAGAAAUUUAUGGUGCCUCUUUGGUGCUAGAGUCUGAGCUCCCUAUACUUAAGAGGAUCAUUUGGCAUUGGAAGAAAACGAUAUUGAUCUGGAUCAGUAUGGUGUUGUUUCUAAUGCAGUUUCUGAUGAUCUUAGUUUGCUGUAGACCUAUUAUUAUUCCAAGGAUAAGGCCAAGGUGUGGUUCUGCUAACAACAAUGGUUGUCGAAAUAAUCGAGCCCAGACUCGAGCCAGUUAAGACCAGAGGUUCCAGGUGAUCGGAACUUGGAUAUGACAUUGGUGGAACGUAAGUUAGUUUGAGACUUCAAGGGGUAAUCAAAUUUUCGUAAUGUGGGACGACAUCUGGUCUAGUUCAGACCUUGUCUAAUGUGUACCAGCGGCUGAAUAGUUUUACAAAGAGAAGAAUACUACGCACCUUGGUCUUUCGAUAAUUGGUGAACCUUGAAUAAAGCUUGCAGGUGUAACCUGUCACUCGGGUCUUUUCCAUUCUAAUUCUUGUUACCAAUAAUCCUUUUUGAGUUGGGCGUGCUCUUUUGAUGGAAAGGUUUUCACGAACUGUGAAGGACAUUCCAUAAUUGGUGAGCUUUUGUGCAGAUUAAAAAGCUUAGUCAGCUUAAUUAGUUAUAGCUGAGUUACUUGGGAAGCACAAUUGGUUCCAGAUCUGAAUUUAUUUGAUCAUCUUCUUCAAUGUUGCCAGUUUCCUGAUCUGCAUCAUCUGUAGUAUUUUCCUGGUGUGCAUCAUUGACAAUAUGGCAGUCAAUUUUUUGUUAUCCCACUGGUGCUAACUGUCAUUUGAACAUGAGCUCUUUAGAUUUUGAAAGAUCAUCUAGGGUGUAGUAGAGCGGGUCUCAACAAACUCUUGCAAUGAUCAAUAUCAAGCUAAUUGUUGAAGAUUCCUUGCCAUGGAGUCGUGAGGAGAGGUAUCUUAUUUUCUGAGACCAUUGCGUAUUUAUCACUUUUAGGCUUCUUUUAGGCUUUUGAAAAUCUUAGUGGAGUGACACCGCCUUUCCAUAUAGUUUCGAGGAUUAUUAGAAGAUAAUCUAAAGAUUCUAAAUUCAUUCCUCAUUUGGAGAAAGAGACAUCUUAACUUCAUCGAGGGAGCUGCAAAUGAUGAUAUCUUUUCUAAGCUGAAUACAGAAUACAAUUUGCUGCACUGAGUGUUCUAGAUUUGGUACCCUCUUUAUAGAGGCGGAUGUGAAUAACUUGGUAUAUUUUGCAAUUAUUUAUCUUCAACGGUUUCAGUUUGUCGAUGUAUCUACUGGUAUUUGUCUAUGGAAAAUUUCUUUUAGUUUCU
RNA transcript from Papaver somniferum (opium poppy), 2795 nucleotides. It is a transcript of the gene named seipin-2-like, with no coding region annotated. The transcript has 3 exons. Lineage: Eukaryota; Viridiplantae; Streptophyta; Magnoliopsida; Ranunculales; Papaveraceae. The record is from RefSeq and is a predicted model, not a curated record.